This is a long non-coding RNA of Rhincodon typus (whale shark), 2330 nucleotides long. RefSeq lists it as uncharacterized. The transcript is spliced from 3 exons. NCBI's taxonomy places the organism in Eukaryota, Metazoa, Chordata, Chondrichthyes, Orectolobiformes, Rhincodontidae. The record is from RefSeq and is a predicted model, not a curated record.
CAGCAGAAGGCGAAACAAGACAGAAAGGCCACUCGGUCGGAUGUGGCUUGCAAGCUGAUUGCCGGUGAUUCGGUUGAUCAUUCAAGGAGGUGUGCUCCCAUUAAUGAUUACUUCAUUAUUAACCUCAAUAAUCUGCUAGUCGCUUCCCGGAAAAGCGAGCGGCCUUUAGCUUCCCUGCUGAAGUCAAUCAGGUCAGCAUCGCCUGACGGCUAGUCCAUUGAAAGCUGUGACCAGGAAACUAAACUGGCAUCCCGGAUCGCUUAAUCGAUGGUGCAUCGUAAAUUCCUGGGGAAUCUUGACGACAGAGAGAUCACCACUGGGUAAAGGGGCGAGGCCUAAAAAGGCAACAAGACACCGAUCUGAAAGUCUGGAUUCUGCACUGCUUCUGUCUGCAAGUGAGCAGCUACAGGGCGAGCCUGGGUUGGAAGAAGAGGGUCUGAUGUGAGGAGUAAUAUUCCCUGGAGAUUUAGAAAAAAAGGAUUGAAUUUGCGGUUCAGCAGAGCGGGCGACGAUCCCAGAUGUAAGCAUCUGCCCACAUCAUCUGUAACAGCUCCAAAAAAAUUCUUAAUUCUCAAUUCUCGAAAGUGGUUAUUCUUGCUUCUUUGUGAAUGUGACUGCGAGGUAGACAGAGAGAAGGAUAUAAGUCCUCACAAGUUGUAUAAAGACACAUGCGUUCUCAGGGAGAGGGUACAUCAAACCUGCAGCAUGGAUGGAGUACUGAACACGGAAAGGUUUUAGACUCUCUCUCACGAAUCCCAGGAAGCUCAGUGGCCAGAACAGGUUCCAGACCUGAUCAAACCUCAAACUGUCACCUCAGUUCAUGGCCCACUGUGAACCCCCCAAUCUCUAUUUCCAACCACCGGCGGUAACCUAACGAUUGCAUUUUGCCAAAAAGAAAGACUGAAAUUGACUUAAUGGGAUUCAUUUCAAUUCUGAAACAUGCUGGAUAUUUUAGAACACGGUCACUCAAUUGUGUAGAUUCGGUUUCUGUACGAAAUUUAUUUGCCCUAAUAUCAGUGACUGAGGUAAUCGGUCUCCGUACUGUUCCGCACCGCCCUCUGACUAGUCGAGUGGCCAAAAGAUUUUGGGAGGAAGAAAUUCAAACCUUAACAUCAGCACCCCCCACCACCCCCCACCUUCCCCCAAACUCCAUCUGACACCUGCAAAUGCCAAUCCAGGAUCUGAGCAGACAAAUUGAAACUGGCAAUCCAGCACAAAAGGAAGUUGCUGGAGAAACUCAGCAGGUCUGUGGAGAGAGAAACACAGUUAACGUUUCGAGUCCAGUGAUCGGUCCUCACAUUCCAAUGUGUUACUGAGCGUGUGGUGUACGUUCCCAGACGGCUUCUUUUGGUUGGGGCAUUAAAACCGAGACCCGAACUGCCCUUACAUGUGGGAUGUAAACGACUCCAUAGCAGUCCUUUGAAGAAGAGCAAGCAUGGUAUCCUCAGAGAUAGUAAGAACUGCCGAUGCUGGAGUCUGAGGUAACAGUGUGGAGCUGGAGGAACACAGCAGGCCAGGCAGCAUCAGAGGAACAGGAAAACUGACGUUUCGGGUCGGGACCCACGGUAUCCUCUUGUCCGCACCAAUGUCAAUCAUUUCUCCGCAAAAGAUCCGUAUUUCUGCAAAAAGGAGAAGAAGUACGAAAGCAGAGGAGGUUAGUGAAAGCCUCAAUAAAGGAAGAGAGGGAGCGCCAUAAGUGCGCGCGGAAUGAGAGAGAGCAAAGCAAAACCAAAAGAAACAGGAUGGCAGUGAAAUGAAAUAGGAGAGCAACUGAAGCAGAAUCGAACUAAGCGCCUGAGACAUUUUUGAAUCAGAAACUUAACUCGCCUGAAAGUUUCCUGGUGAGAUCCAGAUUAAUACAAUUGAGAAUCACUGGAUUACGUUGUUUUGUUCAUGUUAUGUUUUAUUUCCAUUUAAUGUAAAGAAGAUCAAUUGGCCUGAGUCAAUCUUGAGCAAGGCUAAUUAAGCGAGUCAUGUAUCUUGGGGAAAGAAACCCAGUGUUAAGCUAUAAGACAGUUACACUCAUUGCUGGCAACACCCAAUGAAUGCCCAAUGUUUACAGGCUAGUUACAGGGUUCACUGACCACUUGAUUUUAUAUAUUCAACAAGUAUUGCUUCUUUAAGUUGGUAUUUUACCUUCCAGUACUUAUUCUUAGCAUACCUUGAGCAGGGUGAAUUAACAUCUGUGUAUUUUCACUGAGUUAGUAUGGUUGCAUGUGCCCUGAAGCGUACUUUUUUUUGACUAAAAAUUCACACAAUCUGAGUGACUGUAUAACUGAUGCAUUGAAAAUUCAAAAAUGUCAUUCUCAAUGGUGCUUGCUGUACACAGG